Molecule: long non-coding RNA, 632 nt
Filed under: Hordeum vulgare
Lineage: Eukaryota; Viridiplantae; Streptophyta; Magnoliopsida; Poales; Poaceae
Description: long non-coding RNA (HVUL_LNC013281)
Source: RNAcentral
UGCACUAUCCGAGUCGGCGUGGACAGGGAGCAUUUGCCUCUUUGGUGAUCAGGGGGCAACGGCAGCUGCCCCUCCAAAAGCAGGCGGCAAAAAGUUACCAUUUCGGUGAUAGGGGAUCGGAGCGGAUCGGUGCUGUAGGACGGAGGUCAUCGCCGUGGCAACAUGUAUGAAAGAACAUAUGCUCCCUUGGUGGUUUUGAUAAUUCAUGACAACAUACAUUGUCUCUUGGACUAACACUUUUACCUAGUAUAUUUCAGGUGUAGUCCACAUCGAGCUUCGGCUAUAGGAUUGUGUGGAGAUGGCCCUUUGAUUAAGGAAGGAUAUGAUUGGCUCAAGCUUCAAGCAAGAAGACUCUACAUUUUACAUUUGUGAAAAAUCACUUUGAGUCCAUAGGAAAGCCAAUAUAUUUAAAGGGGAUGAGGUGUUAAGAUGAAUUUGUUGGAAUUAUGCCCUAGAGGCAAUAAUAAAUAUAGUUAUUAUUAUAAUUCCUGUAUCAAGAUAAUCGUUUAUUAUCCAUGCUAUAAUUGUAUUGAAUGAAGACUCAUUUACAUGUGUGGAUACAUAGACAAAACACUGUCCCUAGCAAGCCUCUAGUUGGCUAGCUAGUUGACCAAAGAUAGUCAGUGUCUUCU